RNAcentral lists this ribosomal RNA (253 nucleotides) under uncultured bacterium. RNAcentral describes it as "partial 16S ribosomal RNA". It matches the Rfam family "Bacterial small subunit ribosomal RNA", at positions 524 to 776 of the family's 1533-position model. The record is from RNAcentral.
GACAGAGGUGCCAAGCGUUAGGCGGAAUCACUGGGCUUAAAGCGUGUGUAGGCGGAUCGUUAAGUACCUUGUGAAAUCCCACGGCUCAACCGUGGAACUGCUGGGUAUACUGGCGGUCUUGAGCCACCUAGAGGCAACUGGAACAAGCGGUGGAGCGGUGAAAUGCGUAGAUAUCGGGAGGAACACCAGUGGCGAAGGCGGCGACCUGGGCCAAUACUGACGCUGAGGUGCGAAAGCGUGGGGAGCAAACAGG